CCUACGGGAGGCAGCAGUGAGGAAUCUUGGUCAAUGGACGAGAGUCUGAACCAGCCAAGUAGCGUGAAGGAUGACUGCUCUAUGGGUUGUAAACUUCUUUUAUAAAGGAAUAAAACGAGGCACGUGUGCCUUUUUGCAUGUACUUUAUGAAUAAGGAUCGGCUAACUCCGUGUCUGCAGCCGCGGUAAUACGGAGGAUCCGAGCGUUAUCCGGAUUUAUUGGGUGUAAAGGGAGAGUAGAUGGUUUGUUAAGUCAGUUGUGAAAGUUUGCGGCUCAACCGUAAAAUUGCAAUUGAUACUGGCAGUCUUGAGUACAGUUGAGGUAGGCGGAAUUCGUGGUGUAGCGGUGAAAUGCUUAGAUAUCGCGAAGAACACCGAUUGCGAAGGCAGCUUACUAAACUGUGACUGACAUUGAUGCUCGAAAGUGUGGGUAUCGAACAGGAUUAGAUACCCGUGUAGUC
RNAcentral lists this ribosomal RNA (460 nucleotides) under uncultured bacterium. Its description in RNAcentral is "partial 16S ribosomal RNA". It matches the Rfam family "Bacterial small subunit ribosomal RNA", at positions 338 to 795 of the family's 1533-position model. The record is from RNAcentral.